GCGAUGUUGGCUGUAGAUAUAUCCAUGUUGUGGCUUGACUCAGUGGUUUCAAUAUUGGGUGUAUUUUUUUCAGAAGGCAUGU
Saccoglossus kowalevskii is the source of this 82-nucleotide non-coding RNA. The record is from RefSeq and is marked provisional. Lineage: Eukaryota; Metazoa; Hemichordata; Enteropneusta; Harrimaniidae.